RNAcentral lists this ribosomal RNA (587 nucleotides) under uncultured Singulisphaera sp. RNAcentral's name for it is "bacterial SSU rRNA". It matches the Rfam family "Bacterial small subunit ribosomal RNA", at positions 102 to 694 of the family's 1533-position model. Lineage: Bacteria; Pseudomonadati; Planctomycetota; Planctomycetia; Isosphaerales; Isosphaeraceae. The record is from RNAcentral.
AAGGGUGAGUAAGGCGACGGUAACCAACCCCAGGAUUGGGUAUAGCCGCGGGAAACCGCGGGUAAUCCCCAGCGACGCAACGGCACCGGCAUCGGUGCCUUGCCAAAGCUUCGGCGUCGUGGGACGGGCUGUCGUGGUAUUAGCUUGUUGGCGGGGUAAUGGCCCACCAAGGCUCUGAUGCCUACCGGGCGUGCGAGCGUGGCCCGGCACACUGGGACUGAGACACUGCCCAGACUCCUACGGGAGGCUGCAGUCGAGAAUCUUCGGCAAUGGGCGCAAGCCUGACCGAGCGACGCCGCGUGGAGGAUGAAGGCCUUCGGGUUGUAAACUCCUGUCGAGGGGGAAAAAGGGUUGAAAGACCUUGAUUGAUCCCUGGAGGAAGCACGGGCUAAGUUCGUGCCAGCAGCCGCGGUAAGACGAACCGUGCGAACGUUAUUCGGAAUCAUUGGGCUUAAAGCGCGUGUAGGCGGAUUCGUGCGUCUGUCGCUGAAAUCCCCCGGCUCAACCGGGGAAGUGGCGUGGAUACGACGAGUCUGGAGGGGCAUAGGGGGACCUGGAACUUCCGGUGGAGCGGUGAAAUGCGUUGA